AUGAACGCUGGCGGCGUGCCUAAUACCUGCAAGUCGCGCGAACGGACGAGAAGCUUGCUUCUCUGAUGUUAGCGGCGGACGGGUGAGUAACACGUGGAUAACCUACCUAUAAGACUGGGAUAACUUCGGGAAACCGGAGCUAAUACCGGAUGAUAUUUUGAACCGCAUGGUUCAAAAGUGAAAGACGGUCUUGCUGUCACUUAUAGAUGGAUCCGCGCUGCAUUAGCUAGUUGGUAAGGUAACGGCUUACCAAGGCAACGAUGCAUAGCCGACCUGAGAGGGUGAUCGGCCACACUGGAACUGAGACACGGUCCAGACUCCUACGGGAGGCAGCAGUAGGGAAUCUUCCGCAAUGGGCGAAAGCCUGACGGAGCAACGCCGCGUGAGUGAUGAAGGUCUUCGGAUCGUAAAACUCUGUUAUUAGGGAAGAACAUAUGUGUAAGUAACUGUGCACAUCUUGACGGGACCUAAUCAGAAAGCCACGGCUAACUACGU
RNAcentral lists this ribosomal RNA (495 nucleotides) under uncultured bacterium. Its description in RNAcentral is "partial 16S ribosomal RNA". It matches the Rfam family "Bacterial small subunit ribosomal RNA", at positions 29 to 506 of the family's 1533-position model. The record is from RNAcentral.